UACGAAGGGGGGCUAGCGUUGUUCGGAAUUACUGGGCGUAAAGCGCGCGCAGGUGGUCUUUCAAGUCAGUGGUGAAAGCCCGGAGCUCAACUCCGGAAAUGCCAUUGAAACUGUAAGACUUGAGGAUGAGAGAGGUGAGUGGAAUUCCCAGUGUAGAGGUGAAAUUCGUAGAUAUUGGGAAGAACACCGGUGGCGAAGGCGGCUCACUGGCUCAUAUCUGACGCUCAGGCGCGACAGCGUGGGGAUCAAACAGG
This 254-nucleotide ribosomal RNA is filed under the name uncultured bacterium. RNAcentral's name for it is "partial 16S ribosomal RNA". It matches the Rfam family "Bacterial small subunit ribosomal RNA", at positions 524 to 776 of the family's 1533-position model. The record is from RNAcentral.